This 1539-nucleotide long non-coding RNA is filed under the name Macaca fascicularis (crab-eating macaque). Its description in RNAcentral is "lncRNA (ENSMFAG00000055113.1)". Lineage: Eukaryota; Metazoa; Chordata; Mammalia; Primates; Cercopithecidae. The record is from RNAcentral.
AAGGUGUCAGCAGGCUUCUUCUGAGGCCUCCCUCCUUGGUUUGCAGGUGGCCGUCUUCACCUUGCGUCUUCACAAGGUCUACCCUCUGUGUGUGUCUGUGUCCUAAUUUCUUAAGAGACACCAGCUGACUGGAUUAAGGCCCACCAUGAGGACCUCAUUUUAACUUAAUCAGCCCUGUAAAGACCCUGUCUCCAAAUACAGUCACAUUUGGAGGUACUGGGAAUUAGGGCUUUGACAUGUGAAUGUUAGGGGGGACACAAUUAGACCCUUAACAGAGAGCUUUUAUGUGCUUUCCAUUUCUAUCCUUUCCUCCAUUUCUAUUGUAAAGCACAUCCUCUGUAGGCCUAUUUGAGCUGCUUCAAAUCCCACCCUUUUCUUUUUCCACUCAUUCAACAUCUAUUUAUCAAGUUUAUGUAUCAGGCUGUCUCAUUGUGCUUGGUGCUGGUGAUCACAGAAUGACUCCUGCGACUGAGAAGAAAUAGGUAUGUAAAAAAAAAAAAAAAAAAGUAGGAAGUCAGGCGCAGUGGCUCACACCUGUAAUCUCAGCACUUUGGGAGGCUGAGGCAGGUGGAUUACCCGAGCCCAGGAGUUUGAGACCAGCCUCGACAACAUGGCAGAACCCCAUUUCUACCCCCCCCAAUACAAAAAAUAAAAAUAAAAAUUAGCCGGUGUGAUGGUGUGCACCUGUAGUCCCAGCUACUCUGGAGGCUGAGGUGGGAAAAUCCAUUGAGCCUGAGAGAUGGAGGUUGCAGUGAGCUGUGAUCAUGCCACUGCACUCCAGCCUGGGCAACAGAGUGAAACUCUGUCUCACAGAAACAAAACAAAACAACUGUAAGAAGCCAAGAGGUGCCAUAGUGGAGGUAAGAAUAAAAUUUGUGGAGUUCAGAAGACAAGUGACUCCUUCUGCCUGGAAGCAGGCAAGUCUGAGAAGAGAAGAUGACAAGCAGUUCCUAAAAGGAUGGACAUGAGACUGGCAGGCAGAGAAAAUGGAGAUGACACCAUGCUAGAAAAGAGGAAUAAAAAAUCACAGAGCACAGGUGUGUGAAAGGGUUUGGCAUGGCCUCUGGUGAGGAGCUGGGGGAGUGAGCAUGAAUGAAACUGGAGAGGAGGCUGCAGCCAGACUAAGAAAAUUAGGACUUUAUCCAGAGUUUAAAACAUUUAACUAACAAGUUAUUAUAUCAAAAUCUAUGGCACUUGCUAUGUGCAAAGCACUGUUUUUAGGUUAUUUAGAUAGAUCCUCAGUUAAUUGUGCCUUAUUAAUUAGACUCUUAGCUCAAAGAUGGGACAUUCCCGUAAUACUUUAUUUGCAUUCCACGUGCCCCUCUCAUUGUCACUGUGAAGGAGUAAAUGAAAAGGAAUCGGCUUCUUUCCAAAGAGCUCUUGUCUCUAAGGGAUGCUUUGUAUCUGUCCAUGAAGAUGAAGAUACCUGCAUAUGUGGGUAUACACAAAACACUUUCCCUUAACUGCAUAUUUAAAUAUAUGGUUAAGGGAAAGUGUUUUAACGACUAGUGGACUUAUGCCUGCCUUGAGAAUUAUAAA